Molecule: ribosomal RNA, 394 nt
Filed under: uncultured Lactobacillus sp.
Lineage: Bacteria; Bacillati; Bacillota; Bacilli; Lactobacillales; Lactobacillaceae
Description: bacterial SSU rRNA
Rfam family: Bacterial small subunit ribosomal RNA
Source: RNAcentral
AUAACACCUGGGAACAGAUGCUAAUACCGGAUAACACAGCUGAUGCCUAUCAACUGUUUAAAAGAUGGGUUCUGCUAUCACUCUUGGAUGGACCUGCGGUGCAUUAGCUAGUUGGUAGGGUAACGGCCUACCAAGGCGAUGAUGCAUAGCCGAGUUGAGAGACUGAUCGGCCACAUUGGGACUGAGACACGGCCCAAACUCCUACGGGAGGCAGCAGUAGGGAAUCUUCCACAAUGGACGCAAGUCUGAUGGAGCAACGCCGCGUGAGUGAAGAAGGGUUCCGGCUCGUAAAGCUCUGUUGUUGGUGAAGAAGGACAGGGGUAGUAACUAACCUUUGUUUGACGGUAAUCAAUUAGAAAGUCACGGCUAACUACGUGCCAGCAGCCGCGGUAAU